UACGUAGGGUGCGAGCGUUGUCCGGAAUUAUUGGGCGUAAAGAGCUCGUAGGCGGUGUGUCACGUCGGCCGUGAAAACCUGCAGCUUAACUGUGGGCGUGCGGUCGAUACGGGCAUCACUGGAGUUCGGCAGGGGAGACUGGAAUUCCUGGUGUAGCGGUGAAAUGCGUAGAUAUCGGGAGGAACACCAGUGGCGAAGGCGACUACCUGGCCUGUUCUUGACGCUGAGGCGUGAAAGCUAGGGGAGCAAACGGG
Molecule: ribosomal RNA, 254 nt
Filed under: uncultured bacterium
Lineage: Bacteria
Description: partial 16S ribosomal RNA
Rfam family: Bacterial small subunit ribosomal RNA
Source: RNAcentral